UCUACUGUAUUUACUCAUGCUCUCUCAGAAAAAACCCUAACACACUCAGAAACUUCCUGUCAACUCUCACACUCUCUCUCAUGGGCGCCGCCGUUGUCCUUGCCGGCGCUCCUACUCCACCGUUCGCGUGAAGUUGUUUGUGUGGCUGCGCCUUCCCUCCUCUCGUCUCGAUCUCCACCUCAUCUCACCUUCCGUUCGCGUGUUCGGCCACCAUCUCUGCUUCUCCGUUUCCAACUUUCAAUCCUUACUUCAAUCUCUCAAGAUUUGAAGGCCCUAAAUACAGUGGGGGAAGCUCAUCAAUAAUUUUCUCUAAGUUUCUCUUCUCAAUAUACUCUGUGAAUAGUUUGUCGGUUGCAAAGGAGAAAAAAUCCAGUAUGUUGCAUUCCUUGCCAUAUCAUGUGGUGUCUAUUGUCUAUUUGACAAAUUAAAAGCUAUCUCACAUACAAGGUACUGAAGAAUUUCUUUGAACAUCCAGUAUGUUUAAUUUGUCAAAAUCUGCCAUAUGCAUAUCAUUAAACCUCUCUUCUCAUUUAGCCAUCUGUUAUUGGUAUAUAGUAUAUACCCCUUUGUUCAUAAUCUUUUUUAUUCAAAUGGAAACUUUUCCCAAAGUGAUGCACUUAAUCCAGCAAAAUCACAAGCCAAUCCAUGAUAACAUGUCUCGAAAAUGGUAUUUGCUGCAAUCUCAUGUACUGAAGUAUUUCUUGUAGUUGAGGGGUGAUUUUGUGUUCUAGUGAUGAGCUUAGUUUUGGGAUUUAGCGAGGGAAUUAGCAAAGUAAUGGAAAUAAAAAUGUUAGGCCGUUAGCGACGGAAACCUCCGUCGCAAUUAGCGACGGACUGUCUGUUCCGUCUGAAAUAGCUACGGACUAUCAUUCUCCCUCGCUAAUAGCGAUGGACUGUGCCGUCGCAAAUAGCGACGGAAAGAGGGCUAAUACGGCAAACAAGUUAGCGACGGAAUUAUAUAAACCAGCGACGGAAAUAUUCCGUCGCCGACAGCGACGGAUUUAGAUUCCGUCGGUAAA
Molecule: long non-coding RNA, 1019 nt
Organism: Lotus japonicus
Lineage: Eukaryota; Viridiplantae; Streptophyta; Magnoliopsida; Fabales; Fabaceae
Exons: 3
Source: RefSeq, a predicted model, not a curated record